This 354-nucleotide long non-coding RNA is filed under the name Felis catus (domestic cat). Its description in RNAcentral is "lncRNA (ENSFCAG00000050309.1)". Lineage: Eukaryota; Metazoa; Chordata; Mammalia; Carnivora; Felidae. The record is from RNAcentral.
AUGCAGGUGUGUAUAUGCCUUUCAAAUACUUGGUUGGAAACAGAAGACUGUUCCUGUCUUGCUCAUAUGGGCACCCCUAAGCAGCAAGAGUGGCACCACCAAACUUCCCCGGGAACUACAUUCAACAUCUCAGCAUUAAGCCAUCAUAGCUUUGAACUGCAUCUCGCCUGCCCCUGGCUCAGCGCCUGGUGCCAACAGAACACCUUUCAGGAUCCACAGCAACGCAGACAACGAGUCCAAGAUCCCGGCCUCUGCUUGGAACGGAACAGUGUCAUGGCGGAGACGACGGCCUUUGUCUUGCUGGGUGUGAAAGCAUCCGCUGUGCUGGCUCCACUGCGGCAGAAUCAAGUUUAA